RNAcentral lists this ribosomal RNA (237 nucleotides) under uncultured bacterium. Its description in RNAcentral is "partial 16S ribosomal RNA". It matches the Rfam family "Bacterial small subunit ribosomal RNA", at positions 96 to 334 of the family's 1533-position model. The record is from RNAcentral.
CGGCGGACGGGUGAGUAACGCGUGGGUAACCUGCCUCAUACAGGGGGAUAACAGUUGGAAACGGCUGCUAAUACCGCAUAAGCGCACAGUACCGCAUGGUACGGUGUGAAAAACUCCGGUGGUAUGAGAUGGACCCGCGUCUGAUUAGGUAGUUGGUGGGGUAACGGCCACCAAGCCGACGAUCAGUAGCCGACCUGAGAGGGUGACCGGCCACAUUGGGACUGAGACACGGCCCAA